This 460-nucleotide ribosomal RNA is filed under the name uncultured bacterium. Its description in RNAcentral is "partial 16S ribosomal RNA". It matches the Rfam family "Bacterial small subunit ribosomal RNA", at positions 338 to 795 of the family's 1533-position model. The record is from RNAcentral.
CCUACGGGAGGCAGCAGUGAGGAAUAUUGGUCAAUGGACGAGAGUCUGAACCAGCCAAGUAGCGUGAAGGAUGACUGCCCUAUGGGUUGUAAACUUCUUUUAUCUGGGAAUAAAAUGUUCCACGUGUGGGAUUUUGUAUGUACCAUAUGAAUAAGGAUCGGCUAACUCCGGGCCAGCAGCCGCGGUAAUACGGAGGAUCCGAGCGUUAUCCGGAUUUUUUGGGUUUAAAGGGAGCGUAGGUGGAUUGUUAAGUCAGUUGUGAAAGUUUGCGGCUCAACCGUAAAAGUGCAGUUGAAACUGGCAGUCUUGAGUACAGUAGAGGUGGGCGGAAUUCGUGGUGUAGCGGUGAAAUGCUUAGAUAUCACGAAGAACUCCGAUUGCGAAGGCAGCUCACUGGACUGCAACUGACACUGAGGCUCGAAAGUGUGGGUAUCAAACAGGAUUAGAUACCCUGGUAGUC